UGAGACUCGGAGUGGAAGCAGAGGUGGGCUCCUGUCUAAAAGGUUCACGGCAUGGCAUCCCAAAACAACAUCAUCACUGAGUACCACAUAUGCCCCUGAGGCUAUGAACUUUCAAACCAGCUCAUAACUUUCACAAACCAUUUCUUUCCCCUUUUUGUCUUGUGCCUUCUGGUUUCAAAUUUGCCACUGUACUUUCAGGUUUAAUGUAAACGAGGACAGCAGAAACAACAAAGGGACAAAGGCAUCAAGACAGUUACAUGUGGUCCUUUCAACCCAGAACACAAAAAGUUUCCUGGAAGCCACAAUCAGUAAAGUCCCCAUCACAUCACUCUGCCAAACUUAGAAGAAAUACAGUAACAUGUUUGUUAAACCUAAGCUUCACGUCAGUACUCUGAAGAUGGAUGUCCACGGAGACAGUCGCCAGACUUCCUCGAUCCUCUUCCAGUGAAUAAAUGUCCUUUCUUUACUUUC
Non-coding RNA from Myodes glareolus (Bank vole), 471 nucleotides. The record is from RefSeq and is a predicted model, not a curated record. NCBI's taxonomy places the organism in Eukaryota, Metazoa, Chordata, Mammalia, Rodentia, Cricetidae.